CUCACAGAUUAAGCCAUGCAUGUCUAAGUACACACGAAUUAAAAGUGAAACCGCAAAAGGCUCAUUAUAUCAGUUAUGGUUCAUUAGACCGUUAACAGUUACUUGGAUAACUGUGGUAAUUCUAGAGCUAAUACAUGCAAUAUAAACACGGACCUUUUGGAACGUGUGCUCUUAUUAGGCUAAAACCAAGCGAUUUUUUCGGAAAUCGUUAAUAUGGUUGAACUCUAGAUAAUUUGCCGAUCGUAUGGUCUCGUACCGACGACAGGUCUUUCAAAUGUCUGCCCUAUCAACUAUUGAUGGUAGUAUCUAGGACUACCAUGGUUGCAACGGGUAACGGGGAAUCAGGGUUCGAUUCCGGAGAGGGAGCCUGAGAAACGGCUACCACAUCUAAGGAAGGCAGCAGGCGCGUAAAUUACCCACUCCCAGUUCGGGGAGGUAGUGACGAAAAAUAACAAUACAGGACUCAUAUCCGAGGCCCUGUAAUUGGAAUGAGUACACUUUAAAUCCUUUAACAAGGACCUAUUGGAGGGCAAGUCUGGUGCCAGCAGCCGCGGUAAUUCCAGCUCCAAUAGCGUAUAUUAAAGUUGUUGCGGUUAAAACGUUCGUAGUUGAAUUUGUGCUUCAUACGGGUAGUACAACUAUAAUUGUGGAUUGUACAUUACCUUAUGUAUGUAAGCGUAUUAUCGGUGGAGUUCUAAUAUGUAAUGGUACUUGUAUCAUUAUGUAUACCUCCUAUUUAAACCUACUUCAGUGCUCUUCAUCGAGUGUUGUUGUGGGCCGAUUCU
Molecule: ribosomal RNA, 785 nt
Filed under: Spheginobaccha macropoda
Lineage: Eukaryota; Metazoa; Arthropoda; Insecta; Diptera; Syrphidae
Description: SSU rRNA
Rfam family: Eukaryotic small subunit ribosomal RNA
Source: RNAcentral